AGCCAACUAACGAAUCCUAACUAGGAUGAAACACGUGUCCUGGAU
Schistosoma haematobium is the source of this 45-nucleotide non-coding RNA. The record is from Rfam. NCBI's taxonomy places the organism in Eukaryota, Metazoa, Platyhelminthes, Trematoda, Strigeidida, Schistosomatidae.